Molecule: ribosomal RNA, 1191 nt
Filed under: Plasmodium vivax Mauritania I
Lineage: Eukaryota; Apicomplexa; Aconoidasida; Haemosporida; Plasmodiidae
Description: partial 28S ribosomal RNA
Source: RNAcentral
AUGUUCACAUGCUGAUUCCUCAGGAAUGAAAUGAAGGUACUAUAUACCUUGAAAUAUAUUUUGUAGAAACUUGUCAUGUUGAGCAACAUCUUAGCACGGUAAGUAAGUUCCCUUAGCUAUAUAAACUUGUGCAUGUUUCAGAGAGAUCAGUAAAUAAAAUACUACAAAAAAGAAGGAGAAGGAGAAGAAGAAAGGAGGAGAGAAGAAGAAGAAGAAGAAGGAGGAGGAGGAGGAGGAGGAGGAGGAGGAAGAAGAAGAAGAAAGGAGGAGAAGAAGAAAAAGAAAAAGAAGAAUAAGAAGAAGCAGAAGCAGAAGACCUUAUUGUUGUACCCGAGCGAGUCAAAGAAUGCAGCACACUCUGAGAUUGAAUUAUGAGUCCUUUAUUAUGCCAGCGACCGAGAGGUGGCUGACGCACAAAAUUCUCUCGGCCCCUAAGAAAAUGUUAGGUGGUCUUUUAUGCCCUAGUUUUAAAAGGGAGGGGGAACGUAGCUGAAGCAAAUUUUUCACAAAAGCAGAGUAAGCAAAAAGUUAAAAGUUAACCUAGUACAUGAGAAAUAAAACAGUGCCAGGUGCGAGGGGUACAGUUGUCACAAAAGACAUACAACUUACAUAGGUAACGGGGGCUCUGGGCACUGGACAGCAGCUGCCUGCAUUCCCAGGCUCUGUUGGUACCACUUAAGUCGGCCUCUUAUCAACAAAUGCAUUCCUGGGGGUGCCCAGUGUCAGCCCGCCCCAGCUGCUACGUACUCUGGGUCCGUACUGAAUGGUGGGAAAACAACUAAAAUGUAGAAGCUAAGAUGGAGUCUGUCCAGCUCAGGAAGCUAACAUAAAGCCUGAACAGCUUUUAGUCUGAGAAGGAGAGAGUUAGUUUUAACUGGCAAAAAGCAGGUUAUCACACUAUGAAGUACAGUUUACAUUAACCCGCUGUCACCAUACGUCGAGAAAUCCACAAAAGCGCUAGUGAACAACAGGAGAAAAACAGCAGCUAACACGUCCUGGGGAAAAGAUAUGCCUUCCUAGAAUUCCGUGCCAAGGCAUCGCCUCCGGUAAUCUUAAGGGAGCAAAGUAUUACUUUUUAGACAGCGUUUCUAUUUUGGGCAAAUACUACUACGGCCCAGAGUGGCGCCAUGAUGUCCUUCCCGUUUUGCAAAUUUGCUGGUCCAAGGAAGGAGAAAAUAAGACAUCAUGAUA